GUAGCUCGAAAGCCGCGUUUGCUCGCCACGCACUCGCCGAUUCUCUCGGCUUUUCGCGAGCGGGCUAAGGUCUGAACGUUCCAGUCCCCUUGCAGUAUUGCACUCGUGUCUAGCCGGCACCGGCCGUAACAGGUUGAGCAGGGUAUCAGACAUGCGCUGGCUGUAGCUUGUAUCGCCCAGAGAUCCGCAAGGGGAGGGCAUAGCGCAGGUCGAGCUUGGAACCACUCUGCGGGGAUCGAGCCAUUUCGUAACUUCUAGUCCCAGCCUCUUUCACGCCUAACGCGCGAGCAUCGCGAGCGAGUGCCCAACUUUCAUCGGGGAGUUGAGAUCCCACAUUGUGUCCCUAUCUAAGUUGGAAAGGGGUCGGUGCUUGGGUGCUGAUUGUGGGAGACGUACGAAGAAAGAGCGCCAAGGGAUAGUGGUUGGGACAACCGUGGCAAAUCUGCGGUAGUCUAAAAUGGCCCUACCCUAGCUCUUUCUUUCUCCCCCGGACGAUUCAGCGUCGCCGGAUUAGCUAUGGUGAUUGAGGAGGUAUGGCUUGGAUGGAGAUGCGCUCUUGAGUUCACUUUGCGGCUCGCACUUGUCUGCUUAUAGUGGACUUGUGUGAAACUCGAUUCAGACUGCUCUUGGGCUGC
Molecule: RNase P RNA, 635 nt
Filed under: Rhizoctonia solani
Lineage: Eukaryota; Fungi; Basidiomycota; Agaricomycetes; Cantharellales; Ceratobasidiaceae
Description: Nuclear RNase P
Rfam family: Nuclear RNase P
About the family: Ribonuclease P (RNase P) is a ubiquitous endoribonuclease, found in archaea, bacteria and eukarya as well as chloroplasts and mitochondria. Its best characterised activity is the generation of mature 5'-ends of tRNAs by cleaving the 5'-leader elements of precursor-tRNAs. Cellular RNase Ps are ribonucleoproteins.
Source: Rfam by way of RNAcentral